AUUGAACGCUGGCGGCAGGCUUAACACAUGCAAGUCGAGCGGUAGCACGGGGGAGCUUGCUCCCUGGGUGACGAGCGGCGGACGGGUGAGUAAUGCAUGGGAAUCUGCCCAGUAGUGGGGGAUAACCCGGCGAAAGUCGGACUAAUACCGCAUACGACCUACGGGUGAAAGCGGGGGAUCGCAAGACCUCGCGCUAUCGGAGCGGCCGAUAUCAGAUUAGCUUGUUGGUGGGGUAAAAGCCUACCAAGGCGACGAUCUGUAGCUGGUCUGAGAGGACGACCAGCCACACUGGGACUGAGACACGGCCCAGACUCCUACGGGAGGCAGCAGUGGGGAAUUUUGGACAAUGGGCGCAAGCCUGAUCCAGCCAUGCCGCGUGCGGGAAGAAGGCCU
This 393-nucleotide ribosomal RNA is filed under the name uncultured bacterium. RNAcentral describes it as "bacterial SSU rRNA". It matches the Rfam family "Bacterial small subunit ribosomal RNA", at positions 29 to 417 of the family's 1533-position model. The record is from RNAcentral.